Molecule: non-coding RNA, 895 nt
Organism: Jatropha curcas
Lineage: Eukaryota; Viridiplantae; Streptophyta; Magnoliopsida; Malpighiales; Euphorbiaceae
Source: RefSeq, a predicted model, not a curated record
UAUUCCCAAACUAAACCAAUCUCAUCUCUCCUCCUACUUGUUUAUCAAACUAAUUUCAUCUCUUCUCUCACCCAAACAAUUGAUUUCAAAGGUUCAAAGGUAAAAAAUAUUGAAUAACAUGAAUAAAAAAAAAAAAAAAUACAGCAAGAUAUCAAAUUAUUAUCAAUCUAAAAUUGCUUAUAUAUCUAGGUAUUGAAUGAAAAAAUGCAGCAACAAAUUUCGACAUAUAUAAUAAAAAAAUUAUUGAUUGGUCUCGCCGGCUUGUGGCCGAUCUUGCCGGAGAAGCAAAGAGUAGUGCUGAAGCAGGCUAGAUCGACCAGAAAGCCAGACUGCGACUCGCACUCUACUACGCUUGCCGGAAGAGGAAGAGAGAGACCCGAGAUGGAGUGAGCGGCGAAGGAACGGCGACAAGAAGCUUUAGUCGGCGCGACUUGAGCUUAAAUCACCGGAAACGCCAAAAGAAAGGAGAAAGAGGACUGGCUCGAUCGAGAAGCCCCUCUGUCUCUCUCAUUAGCAUCGCUUGAACAAGAACGAAGGCAAAAGCGCUGACCAGAGGUGCUGCCGGCGAUGUGAGGUUGUCAGAUCGAUGGAGCUUUGAGCUCCGGUGAACGGUAAACAAAGGGGAUAGGGGAGGAGUCUAUGGUGCGAUCAAGAAGAGGGAGAAGGGAUUUUGGGUUAAAGCAAAACAGGGAUUUUUAGAUAUAUAGAUAGGUUAGUUGCUGAUUUGGUUCGAUUUAGGUUUGAUUUGGCUCGAUUCAUGAAUUUUUUAUUUGAUGAUAUCCGACAUGGCAAAAUUAUGUGACUUGGAAUUGUAAUUUUUCACGUCAUCCGUGCAUGUUGUGCAAAACGAGUUUAGUACUCUGACCAUGUGUGCAAUUGUUAUUAAAAAGAAAAA